GUCCCCGGCGGGCGCGAUAUUUCCUCGACGAACCGGGAGGUCAGGAGGAGGGGCGGAGGUAAAGCGGGUGAGGCUGGAAGCAGGUGUGUGUAAGGUGGUCGGUGGUGGGCGGCUUUUUCGGGGUUAGGGUCGUUUGGUGUUUGUGAGUGCACUCAAGCUCGCUCCAUUCGUAUCUAGGCUCGCUCAAGAACGCAGCGGUUCCAUUCCAAGAGGCUCAGAGUUCGGGAGAAGGAGGGCGGGGGGAUAAGCAGAGGAACAAGUGGGCCGUCCGUCGCUCCAGAGGUCCUGCAAAAUCUAGGGCCCCGAGGUCUAGACAAGAAAAAAGAAGAGAAAAUCAACAUCAUUAGCCGGUCCGCUCCAAGAAAAAGGUGUGGAGGAACGAGCAACACAGAUCUAGAUGGUGGUUGCGGUAGAGAAAAACGGCACCGACAACUGGAACAACUAAAAGAGACGGACAAGAUCCAAAACCAAACCUUUGGUCCGUCUAAAGAAAGAACAAGUAGAAAGAUUCUUUUGUUUUUAGGGGUUUUUUUUCAAGCAGGAUCAAGGAAUCUACCGACGUCGAUAUCUAGACAGGCCCCUCCUAGACCACUCUCGUGAGCUCGGAAAAUAGGCUCUUCGGAGACGGGGGGAAGGUGAGGUGAGGGUAGAAUCAGGGUGGAGCGGUAAGAGGAAGGGGGUGCGGCGGAUGUCACCCAUGGGCAUGCCCCACGUCCGUGUCCGGGUCUGGCUCGAGUCGGGCCGGGUCUACGUGAUGUAGGUCCGUGCGGAGGUGGAGGUCGCGGUCUGACCGGUCGGCCCGGUCGAGCCUGGCGCCAGGGUCGGGUACUUCGGGCGAAGCCACCGUCGCCGCUGGGGCGGCGCCGGCGUCUUCGAGAUGGCACCGCACGCCGUCGCGGUGACCCCGUUCACCCACCGCCUCUAGGCAGAGGGGGCGUUGGCGUGGGCGGAGACCGAGCCGUGGAAGCUGUGGCGGCUCCUCCGCCGGGAGCGGAUGCUGGUCCGGCGGAUGGCGGAGGCGCCGCUACGUCGAGCGGAGUUGAAGGGGCUGUUGCGGCGGAGAGCGCCGGGCGAGGUACGGAGGCAACUGCGGUUCGAGGUCUGGGAGACGGUCUUGUAGUGGCGGAGGUUCUUGCGGUUCUUCAGGCGGAGACAGAGGCGCAGGUGGCGGCGUCGGUGCAGCAGGUGGGGGUGGUCGUUGACGAGGAGCGGAAGGAGGCUGCUCCGCAGUAGGAGCGACCUCAGACGCCUCAGCAGUGGCAGUGGGCGGCGGUGGUGGCGUCGUCUACAAGGUCUCUACGUCGUCGAGCUGAAGUCGCUCCGCGGUACCCUGCUCCGUCGGACGAAGCGGGAGUGGUUCAUGGGCAGCAUACUCUAGCUGACCCUAAGCGAAGAGCGGUGGUUAAUCGUGGGUCAAACACAGGCAGUCGAUGAUAAUGAUGGCAGAAAUCGCACAGUACUACGAUCCAAUUACCAGCGGAGCUACGUCUACCGUAAAAUCUGUAAGACGUGCCCGAAAAUCGCCUAAUCGAGAUUCAGAGAUUAGGAACAAGUAACACAUCUAGAUAAUAAACAAGAGAACACCAUCCCAAACCAAUCAGGCAGGGCCUACUGAUAUUCGGCCGCAAAAACACGGGCCGCAGAGGCCACCAGCCAGUGACCAGUCACUGAGGCCGGCCACUUCAGACACAGGUACCAAGAUCGAUCAACGACAAGGAAGGCGACGAGACGUCUAACAUUGUCACCCUCAGACAGUACAUAUUAAUAGAGCAGUUUUUAGGACAUUACACCUUAUAAUAAAACAACAAUUACAAGCAAAACAGAACAUUUGAGUACUUUCCGUAGCAAAAAAAAGAACAUUUUAAGAACUUUACAGUCUAACGCUUUACCUUGAUCCAUCACUUGCACUG
RNAcentral lists this ribosomal RNA (1910 nucleotides) under Triticum aestivum (bread wheat). Its description in RNAcentral is "partial small subunit ribosomal RNA". Lineage: Eukaryota; Viridiplantae; Streptophyta; Magnoliopsida; Poales; Poaceae. The record is from RNAcentral.